Molecule: long non-coding RNA, 378 nt
Filed under: Lathyrus oleraceus (garden pea)
Lineage: Eukaryota; Viridiplantae; Streptophyta; Magnoliopsida; Fabales; Fabaceae
Description: Pisum sativum (pea) long non-coding RNA (PSAT_LNC030238)
Source: RNAcentral
GAUGAUGCAAGUGAUGAUGAACAGACAACUAGCAGUGAUGAGGACUGAAGUUUUCUGGUUCUUAUGUGUUUUGUUUAUGAUCCUAGUUGUUUUUUAUUGGCUAUGCCCUAAUUUUUAGGAACUUUAAAGUGCUCUUAGUAUGUAACUUAACUUUUGAUUGCUCUGCUACAUCUAAAGCUUGUUUGUGUUUGUCAACUUUUUGGCUAUGGUUGUAGACUAGUUUCGUGUGGGCUGCGUGUUUUAUUAAAAUCAUAUCAAAUGUCUUGGCAUCCUGAAUAAGAGAAUUUAUUUUUUUAUUAAGUAGGUUCUUCGUGUGAGAGUUUACUUCUCUCAGAUGUGAGGCUAUUUUUUUUUCUGCUGCGCCUGCCUCUGUUGUUU